This 413-nucleotide ribosomal RNA is filed under the name mastodon intestinal bacterium 101.5.25. RNAcentral's name for it is "bacterial SSU rRNA". It matches the Rfam family "Bacterial small subunit ribosomal RNA", at positions 92 to 501 of the family's 1533-position model. Lineage: Bacteria; Pseudomonadati; Pseudomonadota; Gammaproteobacteria; Enterobacterales; Enterobacteriaceae. RNAcentral also lists the same sequence under 1 other name. The record is from RNAcentral.
CGAGCGGCGGACGGGUGAGUAAUGUCUGGGAAACUGCCUGAUGGAGGGGGAUAACUACUGGAAACGGUAGCUAAUACCGCAUGACCUCGCAAGANCAAAGUGGGGGACCUUCGGGCCUCACGCCAUCGGAUGUGCCCAGAUGGGAUUAGCUAGUAGGUGAGGUAAUGGCUCACCUAGGCGACGAUCCCUAGCUGGUCUGAGAGGAUGACCAGCCACACUGGAACUGAGACACGGUCCAGACUCCUACGGGAGGCAGCAGUGGGGAAUAUUGCACAAUGGGCGCAAGCCUGAUGCANCCAUGCCGCGUGUGUGAAGAAGGCCUUAGGGUUGUAAAGCACUUUCAGCGAGGAGGAAGGGUUCAGUGUUAAUAGCACUGUACAUUGACGUUACUCGCAGAAGAANCACCGGCUAAC